This is a long non-coding RNA of Helianthus annuus (common sunflower), 1048 nucleotides long. RefSeq lists it as uncharacterized. The transcript has 2 exons. The record is from RefSeq and is a predicted model, not a curated record. Lineage: Eukaryota; Viridiplantae; Streptophyta; Magnoliopsida; Asterales; Asteraceae.
AAACUCUCCUCAUUUGAAACCCUAGGUAACAAAUGCGCACACCAGACCCCUCUUCCAACUUUCUCUGCAUCUCCUUCUUCUUUGAUGAAACCCUAUCUUUCUCAUUUUCUACAAGACACACACAACAUCAAUCCUGUUAUCUCUCUCGACUGAUCAUACAUAAAGCACAGACAUAAUAUAUGGUUGAUGUCUCUUCUGGAAACCUUAUCAACAUCACCAACACAACCCCCCCCCUUUUCUUCUCCGGUCGGUCGACACCCACAGCCCCCUAAACCACCCCGCAACCCCUCUGUUGCUCGAUACUAAACGGCCGGCCACCACCAUUCGGUGGUGGCGUGCAGCAGCACCAACGCAGGGAACAAAGAGAGAGAAAGGAGGCCGGCGAUGAGCUGGCAAAAGUUACCAGCGCCGCCGCUACGGCGAUGGUGAUGUGAUGAAGAUGAUAUUGAUGUCAACGGAGGUGGUGGGGUUUGGGUGGUGUCACAGCGACGACAACAAUCAACACGGGCCCUGCUCCGAUGUCGGUGAUGACGACGGUAAUCAGGUGGCUCUGACCAAAACUCUGUUAUGAUGGCAGGGGUGUAAGGAAGCACAUGAUUCAAGUUCGGUUCGAUAAGAAGCAGGGUGGUGGCUCGGUUCAGUCUUGACUCGGGUCAACACCGGGUCAACUCGGUCAAUGCUGGUCAACUCAGGUCAACGACUCGGGUCAACACAGUCAAACUCGGCCAGCAAGAGUCAAACCACAGACACGAGUAAUUCGGUUCGGUUUUCGGUGUUCAGUCAAAACUAGGCAACCUCAGAUUCGACUCGGUCAACACCGGGUCAACUCAGUCAAUGCUGGUCAACUCAGGUCAACGAUUCGAGUCAACCGGUCAAACAGGUCAACGACAGUCAACACGAAGGACCCGGUAAAGUUUAAGCGUAGCGAAAUAGUUUACGUUAGAUUUUAUAUAGUUGAACGCGAAACCGAGCUCGACCGAUACCGUUUGUGAUUAGUUACGUUUUAUUUUAUCGUAUUUGAUAAAAUUUUAGUAUAGUGUUUGAAGUG